GACGAACGCUGGCGGCGUGCUUUAUACAUGCAAGUCGAACGAUGAAGUUCCUUCGGGAAUGGAUUAGUGGCGAACGGGUGAGGAACACGUGAGAAACCUGCCUUUCAUUCUGGGAUAACACCGGGAAACCGGCGCUAAUACCGGAUACUCCAUCUUGGCGGCAUCGCCGAGCUGGGAAAAAAUUUUGAUGAAAGAUGGUCUCGCGGCCUAUCAGCUAGUUGGUGAGGUAAAGGCUCACCAAGGCGACGACGGGUAGCCGGCCUGAGAGGGCGACCGGCCACACUGGGACUGAGACACGGCCCAGACUCCUACGGGAGGCAGCAGUAGGGAAUAUUGGGCAAUGGGCGAAAGCCUGACCCAGCGACGCCGCGUGAGGGAUGAAGGUCUUCGGAUUGUAAACCUCUUUCAGUAGGGAAGAAGCGAAAGUGACGGUACCUAAAGAAGAAGCACCGGCUAACUAUGUGCCAGCAGCCGCGGUAAUACAUAGGGUGCAAGCGUUGUCCGGAAUUAUUGGGCGUAAAGAGCUCGUAGGUCGUUUGUCGCGUCGAUUGUGAAAAUCUGAGGCUCAACCUCAGACCUGCAGUCGAUACGGGCAAACUAGAGUGUGGUAGGGGAGACUGGAAUUCCUGGUGUAGCGGUGGAAUGCGCAGAUAUCAGGAGGAACACCAAUGGCGAAGGCAGGUCUCUGGGCCAUAACUGACACUGAGGAGCGAAAGUGCGGGGAGCGAACAGGAUUAGAUACCCUGGUAGUCCGCACCGUAAACGGUGGGCACUAGUUGUGGGAACCUUCCACGGUUUCCGCGACGCAGCAAACGCAUUAAGUGCCCCGCCUGGGGAGUACGAUCGCAAGAUUAAAACUCAAAGGAAUUGACGGGGCCCCGCACAAGCAGCGGAGCAUGCGGCUUAAUUCGACGCAACGCGAAGAACCUUACCAAGGCUUGACAUAUAGUGAAAAGUGGCAGAGAUGUCA
Molecule: ribosomal RNA, 970 nt
Filed under: uncultured bacterium
Lineage: Bacteria
Description: bacterial SSU rRNA
Rfam family: Bacterial small subunit ribosomal RNA
Source: RNAcentral